GCAAACUAUGGGAAAACAGAUACUAAUAUUUUUCCUUUGUUCUAUUCCUUUUAGGGAAGCUAUACAAAAAUUUCUAUGAUUUUUGAAUCAACACAAGAUUUAUUACACAAUUUCAAACUUUCAGCAUUUUUAAACAAAAAAGGAAAAAGAAAAACACCCUGGUCGCUCGGCCCACGCGGACUGCGCGCGCUGCCCUCUCCCC
Molecule: long non-coding RNA, 202 nt
Filed under: Sorghum bicolor (sorghum)
Lineage: Eukaryota; Viridiplantae; Streptophyta; Magnoliopsida; Poales; Poaceae
Description: long non-coding RNA (SBIC_LNC008822)
Source: RNAcentral